RNAcentral lists this ribosomal RNA (397 nucleotides) under uncultured bacterium. Its description in RNAcentral is "partial 16S ribosomal RNA". It matches the Rfam family "Bacterial small subunit ribosomal RNA", at positions 523 to 918 of the family's 1533-position model. The record is from RNAcentral.
AUACGUAGGGGGCGAGCGUUGUCCGGAAUGAUUGGGCGUAAAGGGCGCGUAGGCGGCCCGGUAAGUCUGGAGUGAAAGUCCUGUUUUUAAGAUGGGAAUUGCUUUGGAUACUGUCGGGCUUGAGUGCAGGAGAGGUAAGUGGAAUUCCCAGUGUAGCGGUGAAAUGCGUAGAGAUUGGGAGGAACACCAGUGGCGAAGGCGACUUACUGGACUGUAACUGACGCUGAGGCGCGAAAGUGUGGGGAGCAAACAGAAUUAGAUACCCUGGUAGUCCACGCUGUAAACGAUGAAUGCUAGGUGUAAGAGGUAUCGACCCCUUUUGUGCCGGAGUCAACACAAUAAGCAUUCCGCCUGGGGAGUACGGCCGCAAGGUUGAAACUCAAAUGAAUUGACGGGG